CUCGGAGUUUGAUCCUGGCUCAGAUUGAACGCUGGCGGAAUGCUUUACACAUGCAAGUCGAACGGUAGAGGGGGCAACCCCUCGAGAGUGGCGAACGGGUGAGUAAUAUAUCGGAACGUGCCCAGUCGUGGGGGAUAACGUAGCGAAAGUUACGCUAAUACCGCAUACGACCUGAGGUGAACGGGGGGAUCGGCGAAGACCUCGCGCGAUUGGAGCGGCCGAUAUCAGAUUAGGUAGUUGGUGGGGUAAAGGCUCACCAAGCCAACGAUCUGUAGCUGGUCUGAGAGGACGACCAGCCACACUGGAACUGAGACACGGUCCAGACUCCGUACGGGA
This 336-nucleotide ribosomal RNA is filed under the name uncultured Burkholderiales bacterium. Its description in RNAcentral is "bacterial SSU rRNA". It matches the Rfam family "Bacterial small subunit ribosomal RNA", at positions 1 to 346 of the family's 1533-position model. The record is from RNAcentral. Lineage: Bacteria; Pseudomonadati; Pseudomonadota; Betaproteobacteria; Burkholderiales.